RNAcentral lists this ribosomal RNA (400 nucleotides) under phytoplankton environmental sample. RNAcentral's name for it is "partial small subunit ribosomal RNA". It matches the Rfam family "Eukaryotic small subunit ribosomal RNA", at positions 587 to 994 of the family's 1831-position model. The record is from RNAcentral.
AGCUCUGUAAGCGUAUACCAAAGUUGUUGCAGUUAAAACGCUCGUAGUCGGAUUUUGGGGCAGCCCGUGCUGUGCGCGUAGUGCGUGCGGCGCUGGGAUGUUCUUUUGUGGAGGGCGGUGCGUCGUGGCUUUACUGUCGCGGCGUAUCGGCGCCACCGUUUACUGUGAAAAAAUUAGAGUGUUCAAAGCAGGCGUUUGCCGUGAAUACAUUAGCAUGGAAUAAUAGAAUAGGACUUGGUUUCUAUUUUGUUGGUUUGUGAGAGCCGAGUAAUGAUUAAGAGGGACGGUUGGGGGCAUUUGUAUUCCAGCGUCAGAGGUGAAAUUCUUGGAUUGCUGGAAGACAAACCGCUGCGAAAGCGUCUGCCAAGGACGUUUUCAUUGAUCAAGAACGAAAGUACGC